AAUCAACGCUGGCGGCGUGCCUAACACAUGCAAGUCGAACGCGAAAGUCCCGCAAGGGGAUGAGUAGAGUGGCAAACGGGUGAGUAACGCGUGGGUGACCUGCCUUCGAGUGGGGGAUAACGUUCCGAAAGGACGCUAAUACCGCAUGACAUCCUGCCUUUGAAGAGGCGGAGAUCAAAGCCGGGGAUCGCAAGACCUGGCGCUUGACGAGGGGCCCGCGUCUGAUUAGCUAGUGGUGGGGUAAUGGCUCACCAAGGCAACGAUCAGUAUCCGGCCUGA
Molecule: ribosomal RNA, 279 nt
Filed under: uncultured bacterium
Lineage: Bacteria
Description: partial 16S ribosomal RNA
Rfam family: Bacterial small subunit ribosomal RNA
Source: RNAcentral